UACUUAUGUCUCCUGGCAAAAGCACCUCU
Molecule: non-coding RNA, 29 nt
Filed under: Mus musculus (house mouse)
Lineage: Eukaryota; Metazoa; Chordata; Mammalia; Rodentia; Muridae
Source: RNAcentral